RNAcentral lists this long non-coding RNA (506 nucleotides) under Phasianus colchicus (ring-necked pheasant). RNAcentral describes it as "lncRNA (ENSPCLG00000003763.1)". The record is from RNAcentral. Lineage: Eukaryota; Metazoa; Chordata; Aves; Galliformes; Phasianidae.
AAAAGAACACACAGUUAUGCUGUGCCCAUUUUUCUUGUAAAACUGAAUGUUAUUGUUUCCUCAGUAGAGAACAGAGUGGGAAGUAUUGCCAAGACAUACUCUGUGCGCUAUCUUCUCUUGCUGUGAAUUCCACUGUCCUCUAACAAAUGAAGAGAGGAAAACAAGUGGUGCAAAAAGGUCACUCUGUCUGCUCAGGGGAGCAGAAGUGGCCUGAAGUGGCAGGAGGGAGUAAAAGCAUGCAGGGUGGGAAAAAUUCCCUUCUAAACGAGAGGGAACAACUUGAGAUAUUUUGUAUUGCCAGUAGAAAGGAGCAGCUAAGGAAAGCUCUCCAUAGAUGUCCAAGACACAUAAAAGGCUUCUCCAUUAUGGAAUUACAGUUCACAGAUGGGAUCCAUUUCCAGCUCCCAUGCUGAUUUUACUGCAAGCUAGGAGACUGUUGAAGCAACUUCUGCUCUUAAUAAUAAUAACAAUAAUAAUAAUAAUAAUAAAACACACAUUUUAAAACA